AGAGGGAUAGCCCAGAGAAAUUUGGAUUAAUACCUCAUAGUAUAUAUGAAUGGCAUCAUUUAUAUAUUAAAGUCACAACGGUGAAAGAUGAGCAUGCGUCCCAUUAGCUAGUUGGUAAGGUAACGGCUUACCAAGGCAACGAUGGGUAGGGGUCCUGAGAGGGAGAUCCCCCACACUGGUACUGAGACACGGACCAGACUCCUACGGGAGGCAGCAGUGAGGAAUAUUGGACAAUGGGCGCAAGCCUGAUCCAGCCAUGCCGCGUGCAGGAUGACGGUCCUAUGGAUUGUAAACUGCUUUUAUACGAGAAGAAACCCUCCGACGUGUCGGAGCUUGACGGUAUCGUAAGAAUAAGGAUCGGCUAACUCCGUGCCAGCAGCCGCGGUAAUACGGAGGAUCCAAGCGUUAUCCGGAAUCAUUGGGUUUAAAGGGUCCGUAGGCGGUCAGGUAAGUCAGUGGUGAAAGCCCAUCGCUCAACGGUGGAACGGCCAUUGAUACUGCCUGACUUGAAUUAUUAGGAAGUAACUAGAAUAUGUAGUGUAGCGGUGAAAUGCUUAGAGAUUACAUGGAAUACCAAUUGCGAAGGCAGGUUACUACUAA
Molecule: ribosomal RNA, 600 nt
Filed under: Flavobacterium sp. B1280_1
Lineage: Bacteria; Pseudomonadati; Bacteroidota; Flavobacteriia; Flavobacteriales; Flavobacteriaceae
Description: bacterial SSU rRNA
Rfam family: Bacterial small subunit ribosomal RNA
Source: RNAcentral